CAGAGGGUGCGAACGUUGCUCGGAAUUACUGGGCGUAAAGCGCAUGUAGGCGGGUCGGCAAGUCAGAUGUGAAAUCCCCGGGCUCAACCCGGGAACUGCAUCUGAAACUGCUGGUCUUGAGUACUGGAGAGGGUGGCGGAAUUCCUGGUGUAGAGGUGAAAUUCGUAGAUAUCAGGAGGAACACCGGUGGCGAAGGCGGCCACCUGGACAGUAACUGACGCUGAGAUGCGAAAGCGUGGGGAGCAAACAGGAUUAGAUACCCUGGUAGUCCACGCCGUAAACGAUGGGUGCUAGGUGUCUCGGGUAUUGACCCCUGAGGUGCCGUAGCUAACGCGUUAAGUAUGCCGCCUGAGGACUACGGCCGCAAGGCUA
This 372-nucleotide ribosomal RNA is filed under the name uncultured organism. RNAcentral describes it as "bacterial SSU rRNA". It matches the Rfam family "Bacterial small subunit ribosomal RNA", at positions 526 to 896 of the family's 1533-position model. The record is from RNAcentral.